Molecule: long non-coding RNA, 607 nt
Filed under: Salmo salar (Atlantic salmon)
Lineage: Eukaryota; Metazoa; Chordata; Actinopteri; Salmoniformes; Salmonidae
Description: lncRNA (ENSSSAG00000099655.1)
Source: RNAcentral
CACAUGUAGCAACACAACAUUUCACCAAGACUGUGACAAUCUAUUUCUACCCAGUACUGUGUCACUCCACAGGCUACUAGUGGACUGUCUGUCUGGCAACUGUCUACUACCCUUUGCCUGGCUGCUGAGGGGCUACUGUAAGCCCUGUGGACUGUGGGACAAGCCGUGUUGGACCGUUGGAUAUUGGUAUCUUUCUUUAGUGCAUAACUGUAUGGAUUAACUGCUGUUCUGUACCAUGGCGUUCCUGACACUCCGGGAGGAUUUCAACCAUGGUAAGAGAGAUAGAAGGCUGUAAUAUCAAGUUACAGACUAAGUUGAACAAGGCAGAAGAACAGUAUAAGUGCAGAGGGACUCUGGUUGAAGUGUUCUAUGGACAUGUAGGAGAGUCUAAGGGACAUGAGAGGUUUAUUGGCUGGACAUGUAGGAGAGUCUAAGGGACAUGAGAGGUUUAUUGGCUGGACAUGUAGGAGAGUCUAAGGGACAUGAGAGGUUUAUUGGCUGGACAUGUAGGAGAGUCUAAGGGACAUGAGAGGUUUAUUGGCUGGACAUGUAGGAGAGUCUAAGGGACAUGAGAGGUUUGUUGGCUGGACAUGUAGGAGAGUCUAAG